GUGGGGAAUUUUGGACAAUGGGCGCAAGCCUGAUCCAGCCAUUCCGCGUGCAGGAUGAAGGCCUUCGGGUUGUAAACUGCUUUUGUACGGAACGAAAAGGUUCUCUCUAAUACAGGGGGCUGAUGACGGUACCGUAAGAAUAAGCACCGGCUAACUACGUGCCAGCAGCCGCGGUAAUACGUAGGGUGCAAGCGUUAAUCGGAAUUACUGGGCGUAAAGCGUGCGCAGGCGGUUUUGUAAGACAGGCGUGAAAUCCCCGGGCUCAACCUGGGAAUUGCGCUUGUGACUGCAAGGCUGGAGUGCGGCAGAGGGGGAUGGAAUUCCGCGUGUAGCAGUGAAAUGCGUAGAUAUGCGGAGGAACACCGAUGGCGAAGGCAGUCCCCUGGGCCUGUACUGACGCUCAUGCACGAAAGCGUGGGGAGCAAACAGGAUUAGAUACCCUGGUAGUCC
Molecule: ribosomal RNA, 450 nt
Filed under: uncultured bacterium
Lineage: Bacteria
Description: partial 16S ribosomal RNA
Rfam family: Bacterial small subunit ribosomal RNA
Source: RNAcentral